This 72-nucleotide transfer RNA is filed under the name Myleus setiger. Its description in RNAcentral is "tRNA-Pro". The record is from RNAcentral. Lineage: Eukaryota; Metazoa; Chordata; Actinopteri; Characiformes; Serrasalmidae.
CCAGGAAAGAGAGAUUUUAACUGCCCACCACUAACUCCCAAAGCUAGUAUUCUAAGCUAAACUAUUUUCUGA